GUAAGGAAUAUUGGUCAAUGGACGAAAGUCUGAACCAGCCAUGCCGCGUGGAGGAUGAAGGUCCUCUGGAUUGUAAACUUCUUUUAUCUGGGACGAAAAAAGGUCUUUCUAGAUCGUCUGACGGUACCAGAUGAAUAAGCACCGGCUAACUCCGUGCCAGCAGCCGCGGUAAUACGGAGGGUGCAAGCGUUAUCCGGAUUCACUGGGUUUAAAGGGUGCGUAGGUGGGUUGGUAAGUCAGUGGUGAAAUCUUCGAGCUUAACUCGGAAACUGCCAUUGAUACUAUCAGUCUUGAAUAUUGUGGAGGUUAGCGGAAUAUGUCAUGUAGCGGUGAAAUGCUUAGAUAUGACAUAGAACACCAAUUGCGAAGGCAGCUGGCUACACAUAUAUUGACACUGAGGCACGAAAGCGUGGGGAUCAAACAGGAUUAGAAACCCUUGUAGUCC
RNAcentral lists this ribosomal RNA (445 nucleotides) under uncultured bacterium. Its description in RNAcentral is "bacterial SSU rRNA". It matches the Rfam family "Bacterial small subunit ribosomal RNA", at positions 354 to 796 of the family's 1533-position model. The record is from RNAcentral.